Molecule: non-coding RNA, 72 nt
Organism: Bos taurus (domestic cattle)
Lineage: Eukaryota; Metazoa; Chordata; Mammalia; Artiodactyla; Bovidae
Source: Rfam
UCCCUAGUGGCUCAGAAGGUAAAGCGUCUGUCUGCAAUGCAGGAGACCUGGGUUCGAUCCCUGGGUCAGGAA